AUGAGGGAGGUAGGCAGGCUGGACAGGAGGCAGAAAAGGGAAUGUAGACUAAGCAACUUCCAGUUGACACAGAGAUGGAGUAAGGGACCAAAGAAAUCAGACUUCACAGGUUGGAAGGACUGCAGAGUUCUGCUAGGUCAGUCCCACAAUGAAGGGGGGGUGCAAGUGAGCAAGGGGCAGAAAGACACAGAGAGAGAAGCAGCGCUCGCCCGAAGUGGGGUUCAUGUUUUACUGGAUGCAGGGCUUGUGCUCGCCCAAAGCGAGGGUCAAGCUUACCUGAUGUGGGACUCAAACUUACGAACCAUGAAAUCAUGA
Molecule: long non-coding RNA, 315 nt
Filed under: Felis catus (domestic cat)
Lineage: Eukaryota; Metazoa; Chordata; Mammalia; Carnivora; Felidae
Description: lncRNA (ENSFCAG00000049346.1)
Source: RNAcentral